GACGAACGCUGGCGGCGUGCCUAAUACAUGCAAGUCGUGCGGACCUUGUUGAAAGCUUGCUUUCAAAUGGUUACCGCCGGACGGGUGAGUAACACGUGGGCAACCUGCUUGUAAGAUUGGGAUAACGCCGGGAAACCGGGGCAAAUACCAGAACGUUUUUUCCCCCGCAUGGUCGAAAAAGGAAAGGCGGCUUCGGCUGCCACUUACAGAUGGGCCCGCGGCUCAUUCGCUAGUUGGCGGGGAGAUCGUCCCCCAACGCAACGAUACAUAGCCGACCUGAGGAGGUGAUCGGGCACAAUGGGACUGGGACGCCGCCCGAGCUUCUACGGGAGGCAACAGUUAGGGAUCUUCCGCCAAGGACGAAAGGCGGACGGAGGAACCCCGCGUGGGUGAAGAAGGGCUUCGGGUCGUAAAAAUGUGGUGCCGGGGGAGAACAAGAGCCGUUCGAACCGGGCCGCACCUUGACGGUACCCGGCCAGAAAGCCACGGCUAACUACGUG
This 500-nucleotide ribosomal RNA is filed under the name uncultured bacterium. Its description in RNAcentral is "partial 16S ribosomal RNA". It matches the Rfam family "Bacterial small subunit ribosomal RNA", at positions 28 to 507 of the family's 1533-position model. The record is from RNAcentral.